RNAcentral lists this ribosomal RNA (252 nucleotides) under uncultured bacterium. RNAcentral describes it as "partial 16S ribosomal RNA". It matches the Rfam family "Bacterial small subunit ribosomal RNA", at positions 524 to 776 of the family's 1533-position model. The record is from RNAcentral.
UACGUAGGGUGCAAGCGUUGUCCGGAAUUAUUGGGCGUAAAGAGCUCGUAGGCGGUUCGUCGCGUCGGCUGUGAAAACCCGAGGCUCAACCUCGGGCCUGCAGUCGAUACGGGCGGACUGGAGUUCGGCAGGGGAGACUGGAAUUCCUGGUGUAGCGGUGAAAUGCGCAGAUAUCAGGAGGAACACCGGUGGCGAAGGCGGGUCUCUGGGCCGAUACUGACGCUGAGGUGCGAAAGCGUGGGAGCAAACAGG